This 66-nucleotide transfer RNA is filed under the name Orius niger. RNAcentral's name for it is "tRNA-Leu". The record is from RNAcentral. Lineage: Eukaryota; Metazoa; Arthropoda; Insecta; Hemiptera; Anthocoridae.
UCUAAUAUGGCAGAUUUAAUGCAUUGAAUUUAAACUUCAAUUAUAAAGAAUAUUCUUUUUUUAGAA